AGCUCCAAGAGCGUAUAUUAAAGUUGUUGCGGUUAAAAAGCUCGUAGUCGAAUUUCUGCUGAGACUGGCAGGUCCGCCCCCUGGGUGUGUAUCUUGCUUUGUCUCGGCAUCUUCGUGGGGAACGUUCUGCACUUGAUUGUGUGGAGCGGUUGCCGCGACGUUUACCUUGAGGAAAUUAGAGUGUUUCAAGCAGGCAUUCGCCUUGAAUACAUUAGCAUGGGAUAAUACCAUGGGACAUCGAUCUCAUUUGUUGGCUUUUGAGAAUGAUGUAAUGUCAAAGAGGAAUAGUUGAGGAUCUCUGUAUCCAGAUGUCAGAGGUGAAAUUCUUAGACCUUCUGGCGACAAGCAGCUGCGAAAGCAAUGAUCAAGGAUGUUU
RNAcentral lists this ribosomal RNA (376 nucleotides) under uncultured eukaryote. Its description in RNAcentral is "SSU rRNA". It matches the Rfam family "Eukaryotic small subunit ribosomal RNA", at positions 587 to 969 of the family's 1831-position model. The record is from RNAcentral.